RNAcentral lists this unclassified non-coding RNA (220 nucleotides) under soil metagenome. RNAcentral describes it as "partial contains small subunit ribosomal RNA, internal transcribed spacer 1, and 5.8S ribosomal RNA". The record is from RNAcentral.
UCUCCGUUGGUGAACCAGCGGAGGGAUCAUUACAGAGUCUCCGAACUCCAAACCUUUGUGAACAUACCACCGUUGCUUCGGCGGGACCCCCCCCGGGGUGGGCAGUGCACGGCACGCCCCGGGCGCCCGCCGAGGGCCCCAAACCAUUUCUCCAUAGUGGACUCUUCAGAGUUUGAUACACAAUCAAUCAAAACUUUCAGCAACGGAUCUCUUGGCUCUG